UACGAAGGGGGCUAGCGUUGCUCGGAAUGACUGGGCGUAAAGGGCGCGUAGGCGGUUUGUACAGUCAGGUGUGAAAUUCCCGGGCUCAACCUGGGGGCGGCACUUGAGACGUAGAACUGGAGUGAGGAAGAGGGUCGUGGAAUUCCCAGUGUAGAGGUGAAAUUCGUAGAUAUUGGGAAGAACACCGGUGGCGAAGGCGGCGACCUGGUCCUUUUACUGACGCUGAGGCGCGAAAGCGUGGGGAGCAAACAGG
RNAcentral lists this ribosomal RNA (253 nucleotides) under uncultured bacterium. Its description in RNAcentral is "partial 16S ribosomal RNA". It matches the Rfam family "Bacterial small subunit ribosomal RNA", at positions 524 to 776 of the family's 1533-position model. The record is from RNAcentral.